GUAGGUGGCAAGCGUUGUCCGGAAUUAUUGGGCGUAAAGCGCGCGCAGGCGGUUCUUUAAGUCUGAUGUGAAAGCCCACGGCUCAACCGUGGAGGGUCAUUGGAAACUGGAGAACUUGAGUACAGAAGAGGAAAGCGGAAUUCCACGUGUAGCGGUGAAAUGCGUAGAGAUGUGGAGGAACACCAGUGGCGAAGGCGGCUUUCUGGUCUGUAACUGACGCUGAGGCGCGAAAGCGUGGGGAGCAAACAGGAUUAGAUACCCUGGUAGUCCACGCCGUAAACGAUGAGUGCGAAGUGUUAGGGGGGUUUCCGCCCCCUUAGUGCUGCAGCUAACGCAUUAAGCACUCCGCCUGGGAGUACGGCCGCAAGGCUG
This 372-nucleotide ribosomal RNA is filed under the name uncultured organism. Its description in RNAcentral is "partial 16S ribosomal RNA". It matches the Rfam family "Bacterial small subunit ribosomal RNA", at positions 527 to 896 of the family's 1533-position model. The record is from RNAcentral.